RNAcentral lists this ribosomal RNA (447 nucleotides) under uncultured bacterium. RNAcentral describes it as "bacterial SSU rRNA". It matches the Rfam family "Bacterial small subunit ribosomal RNA", at positions 355 to 825 of the family's 1533-position model. The record is from RNAcentral.
UCGGGAAUUUUGGGCAAUGGGCGAAAGCCUGACCCAGCAACGCCGCGUGAAGGAUGGAGUAUUUCGGUAUGUAAACUUCGAAAGAAUAGGAAGAAUAAAUGACGGUACUAUUUAUAAGGUCCGGCUAACUACGUGCCAGCAGCCGCGGUAAUACGUAGGGACCAAGCGUUGUUCGGAUUUACUGGGCGUAAAGGGCGCGUAGGCGGCAAUUCAAGUCAUCUGUGAAAUCUCCGGGCUUAACUCGGAACGGUCAGAUGAUACUGCUUUGCUAGAGUGCAGAAGGGGCAAUCGGAAUUCUUGGUGUAGCGGUGAAAUGCGUAGAUAUCAAGAGGAACACCUGAGGUGAAGACGGGUUGCUGGGCUGACACUGACGCUGAGGCGCGAAAGCGUGGGGAGCAAACAGGAUUAGAUACCCAAGUAGUCCCUGAGCGGGCUGGCAAGGCGCAU